AUGAACGCUAGCGACAGGCCUAACACAUGCAAGUCAGGGGCAGCACAAGGAGCAAUCUGAGGUGGCGACCGGCGCACGGGUGAGUAACACGUAUGCAACCUGCCUGUAAGCGGGGAAUAACCCGUUGAAAGACGGACUAAUACCGCAUAAUACUAAAUUACUGCAUGGUAAUUUAUUUAAACAUUUAUGGCUUACAGAUGGGCAUGCGCAUGAUUAGCUAGUUGGAGAGGUAACGGCUCCCCAAGGCAACGAUCAUUAGGGGUUCUGAGAGGAAGGUCCCCCACACUGGUACUGAGACACGGACCAGACUCCUACGGGAGGCAGCAGUGAGGAAUAUUGGUCAAUGGACGAGAGUCUGAACCAGCCAAGUCGCGUGCAGGAAGAAUGUCCUUAAUGGAUUGUAAACUGCUUUUGCAGGGGGAAUAAAGUGCAUCACGUGUGAUGUUUUGUAUGUACUCUGCGAAUAAGGAUCGGCUAACUCCGUGCCAGCCGCAGC
RNAcentral lists this ribosomal RNA (496 nucleotides) under uncultured bacterium. RNAcentral's name for it is "bacterial SSU rRNA". It matches the Rfam family "Bacterial small subunit ribosomal RNA", at positions 29 to 518 of the family's 1533-position model. The record is from RNAcentral.